Molecule: small RNA, 29 nt
Filed under: Bombyx mori (domestic silkworm)
Lineage: Eukaryota; Metazoa; Arthropoda; Insecta; Lepidoptera; Bombycidae
Description: ovarian small RNA-25829
Source: RNAcentral
UCAGUUAAAGCGAGAGCCCAUGCUCGACU